RNAcentral lists this ribosomal RNA (1441 nucleotides) under Mycobacterium europaeum. RNAcentral describes it as "bacterial SSU rRNA". It matches the Rfam family "Bacterial small subunit ribosomal RNA". The record is from RNAcentral. Lineage: Bacteria; Bacillati; Actinomycetota; Actinomycetes; Mycobacteriales; Mycobacteriaceae.
GACGAACGCUGGCGGCGUGCUUAACACAUGCAAGUCGAACGGAAAGGCCCCUUCGGGGGUACUCGAGUGGCGAACGGGUGAGUAACACGUGGGCAAUCUGCCCUGCACUUCGGGAUAAGCCUGGGAAACUGGGUCUAAUACCGGAUAGGACCACUUGGCGCAUGCCUUGUGGUGGAAAGCUUUUGCGGUGUGGGAUGGGCCCGCGGCCUAUCAGCUUGUUGGUGGGGUGAUGGCCUACCAAGGCGACGACGGGUAGCCGGCCUGAGAGGGUGUCCGGCCACACUGGGACUGAGAUACGGCCCAGACUCCUACGGGAGGCAGCAGUGGGGAAUAUUGCACAAUGGGCGCAAGCCUGAUGCAGCGACGCCGCGUGGGGGAUGACGGCCUUCGGGUUGUAAACCUCUUUCAGCAGGGACGAAGCGAAAGUGACGGUACCUGCAGAAGAAGCACCGGCCAACUACGUGCCAGCAGCCGCGGUAAUACGUAGGGUGCGAGCGUUGUCCGGAAUUACUGGGCGUAAAGAGCUCGUAGGUGGUUUGUCGCGUUGUUCGUGAAAACCGGGGGCUUAACCCUCGGCGUGCGGGCGAUACGGGCAGACUAGAGUACUGCAGGGGAGACUGGAAUUCCUGGUGUAGCGGUGGAAUGCGCAGAUAUCAGGAGGAACACCGGUGGCGAAGGCGGGUCUCUGGGCAGUAACUGACGCUGAGGAGCGAAAGCGUGGGGAGCGAACAGGAUUAGAUACCCUGGUAGUCCACGCCGUAAACGGUGGGUACUAGGUGUGGGUUUCCUUCCUUGGGAUCCGUGCCGUAGCUAACGCAUUAAGUACCCCGCCUGGGGAGUACGGCCGCAAGGCUAAAACUCAAAGGAAUUGACGGGGGCCCGCACAAGCGGCGGAGCAUGUGGAUUAAUUCGAUGCAACGCGAAGAACCUUACCUGGGUUUGACAUGCACAGGACGCGUCUAGAGAUAGGCGUUCCCUUGUGGCCUGUGUGCAGGUGGUGCAUGGCUGUCGUCAGCUCGUGUCGUGAGAUGUUGGGUUAAGUCCCGCAACGAGCGCAACCCUUGUCUCAUGUUGCCAGCGGGUAAUGCCGGGGACUCGUGAGAGACUGCCGGGGUCAACUCGGAGGAAGGUGGGGAUGACGUCAAGUCAUCAUGCCCCUUAUGUCCAGGGCUUCACACAUGCUACAAUGGCCGGUACAAAGGGCUGCGAUGCCGCAAGGUUAAGCGAAUCCUUUUAAAGCCGGUCUCAGUUCGGAUCGGGGUCUGCAACUCGACCCCGUGAAGUCGGAGUCGCUAGUAAUCGCAGAUCAGCAACGCUGCGGUGAAUACGUUCCCGGGCCUUGUACACACCGCCCGUCACGUCAUGAAAGUCGGUAACACCCGAAGCCAGUGGCCUAACCCUUGGGAGGGAGCUGUCGAAGGUGGGAUCGGCGAUUGGGACG